This 753-nucleotide long non-coding RNA is filed under the name Sorghum bicolor (sorghum). RNAcentral describes it as "long non-coding RNA (SBIC_LNC003977)". The record is from RNAcentral. Lineage: Eukaryota; Viridiplantae; Streptophyta; Magnoliopsida; Poales; Poaceae.
GGGGCAGCGCAGGCGGGCGUGGAGUGGAGGAGGGAGCGAGACGACGGCGGGGGCGGGGACGGGCCAGCCACCGCGCUGGUCGCUCUGCUCACGUACUGCUGCCUCGAUCGGUAUCGGUGAGUGAGUGGUCCUCAGUCCUCACCCUCGUGUCCACCCGACGACGGCCGCCGGCCAAGACACGAGAGGAAUGCAAUGCACCGCCCGUACGUACUGCUUGCCCGCUGCCUCUGCUAUCUUGGUAGGGCGAUCGAGGCUCGCCGUGUGACUCAGCCGUGCCCGUGCAUGGCGCGCGCGGCGGCGACGACGACGACGAGAGGAGCAAUUCGAAUGCGCCUGCUCCCUCGGUUCCCACAUCUCAUCUCGUAGCGUAGGCAGGCGGCAGGCGGCAGGAGCAGAGCAGCUGCAGGAAGGCAGAAACCAUCUCAGCGGCAGAAUGUGAGCAUUUAUACUGCUUGCAGAUCGCAUUUGCUAGCUCGCUCCGCUCCGCUGGAACUACUGUUACUGUUCCCCUGAAUCCCUGAUCCUUUUCUGUUACUGUAUUUUUUUCUUUUUGUGGUCCCGUGGAAUUCUUGUACAUUAGAAGAAUGAUACGGUCUUCAAAACACUACUUUAAUUUUUUAUUUUUAUAAAAAACUUUAGAAAAAAUAUGAUAUAUGUAUGUUUUUAUGAAACUAUUUUUUAAGAUAAAUCUAUUCAUAUAGUUUUUACAUUUACAACCUCAAUAGUUUAAAAAUUAUUGAUAAUUUAUAUUUG